Molecule: ribosomal RNA, 468 nt
Filed under: uncultured bacterium
Lineage: Bacteria
Description: partial 16S ribosomal RNA
Rfam family: Bacterial small subunit ribosomal RNA
Source: RNAcentral
GACGAACGCUGGCGGCGUGCUUAACACAUGCAAGUCGAACGGAAAGGCCCUGCUUUUGUGGGGUGCUCGAGUGGCGAACGGGUGAGUAACACGUGAGUAACCUGCCCUUGUCUUUGGGAUAACUUUUGGAAACUGGGGCUAAUAUCGGAUAGGAUCUCCUGCUGCAUGGUGGGGGUUGGAAAGUUUCGGCGGUUGGGGAUGGACUCGCGGCUUAUCAGCUUGUUGGUGGGGUAGUGGCUUACCAAGGCUUUGACGGGUAGCCGGCCUGAGAGGGUGACCGGCCACAUUGGGACUGAGAUACGGCCCAGACGCCUACGGGAGGCAGCAGUGGGGAAUAUUGCGGAGUGGGCGGAAGCCUGAUGCAGCAACGCCGCGUGCGGGAUGACGGCCUUCGGGUUGUAAACCGCUUUCGCCUGUGACGAAGCGUGAGUGACGGUAAUGGGUAAAGAAGCACCGGCUAACUACGUG